This 604-nucleotide ribosomal RNA is filed under the name Naganishia albida. RNAcentral's name for it is "eukaryotic LSU rRNA". It matches the Rfam family "Eukaryotic large subunit ribosomal RNA", at positions 49 to 658 of the family's 3401-position model. The record is from RNAcentral. Lineage: Eukaryota; Fungi; Basidiomycota; Tremellomycetes; Filobasidiales; Filobasidiaceae.
CGCGGAGGAAAAGAAACUANCAAGGAUUCCCUAGUAACGGCGAAGUGAAGCGGGAAGAGCUCAAAUUUGAAAUCUGGUAGCCUUCGGUUGCCCGAGUUGUAAUCUAGAGAAGUGUUUUCCGUGCCGGCCCAUGUACAAGUCCCUUGGAACAGGGCGUCAUAGAGGGUGAGAAUCCCGUCCUUGACAUGGACCCCCGGUGCUUUGUGAUACACUUUCAACGAGUCGAGUUGUUUGGGAAUGCAGCUCAAAAUGGGUGGUGAAUUCCAUCUAAAGCUAAAUAUUGGCGAGAGACCGAUAGCGAACAAGUACCGUGAGGGAAAGAUGAAAAGCACUUUGGAAAGAGAGUUAAACAGUACGUGAAAUUGUUGAAAGGGAAACGAUUGAAGUCAGUCAUGCUCUUGGGACUUACNUCCCUUGAGUGGGGUCAACAUCAGUUUUGAUCGAUGGAUAAAGGCACGRGGAAGGUAGCACUCUCGGGUGAACUUAUAGCCUCGCGUCAUAUACAUUGAUUGGGACUGAGGAACGCAGCAUGCCUUAUGGCCGGGAUUCGUCCACGUACAUGCUUAGGAUGUUGACAUAAUGGCUUUAAACGACCCGUCCAAAA